AGAAACUUAGGUUAAAUAAGACCAAGAGCCUUCAAAGCCCUCAGUAAGUAUGUUACUUANUUUCUG
Molecule: transfer RNA, 66 nt
Filed under: Cercopithecus hamlyni (owl-faced monkey)
Lineage: Eukaryota; Metazoa; Chordata; Mammalia; Primates; Cercopithecidae
Description: tRNA-Trp
Source: RNAcentral